This 468-nucleotide ribosomal RNA is filed under the name uncultured bacterium. Its description in RNAcentral is "partial 16S ribosomal RNA". It matches the Rfam family "Bacterial small subunit ribosomal RNA", at positions 28 to 507 of the family's 1533-position model. The record is from RNAcentral.
GACGAACGCUGGCGGCGUGCUUAACACAUGCAAGUCGAACGGAAAGGCCCUGCUUUUGUGGGGUGCUCGAGUGGCGAACGGGUGAGUAACACGUGAGUAACCUGCCCUUGACUUUGGGAUAACUUCAGGAAACUGGGGCUAAUACCGGAUAGGAGCUCCUGCUGCAUGUUGGGGGUUGGAAAGUUUCGGCGGUUGGGGAUGGACUCGCGGCUUAUCAGCUUGUUGGUGGGGUAGUGGCUUACCAAGGCUUUGACGGGUAGCCGGCCUGAGAGGGUGACCGGCCACAUUGGGACUGAGAGACGGCACAGACUCCUACGGGAGGAAGCAGUGGGGAAUAUUGCACAAUGGGCGGAAGCCUGAUGCAGCAACGCCGCGUGCGGGAUGACGGCCUUCGGGUUGUAAACCGCUUUCGCCUGUGACGAAGCGUGAGUGACGGUAAUGGGUAAAGAAGCACCGGCUAACUACGUG